This is a long non-coding RNA of Bicyclus anynana (squinting bush brown), 1924 nucleotides long. RefSeq lists it as uncharacterized. The transcript is spliced from 3 exons. The record is from RefSeq and is a predicted model, not a curated record. Lineage: Eukaryota; Metazoa; Arthropoda; Insecta; Lepidoptera; Nymphalidae.
GCAAAAGCUUAAUCCACUUAGAUUACACAGUGAGGGAUCAGGUGAGAUUGUAGUCAAGGGCUAACUUAUUAAGAAUAAAAAAUAUGAUAGGAGAGAUUGACACUUUACAAUUUAUUAUCUUAUGAUAAAAUACAGAGUUGGCAAACAUUGUUGUCAUUUAUAAAUUUUUUCAUUAAGUACAAACAUACUAACAUUCGCAAAGUAUAAAAUAAACAAUAGUUGGCAAACUGAGGGUAAAAAAUAAUAUGAAAAUAAUGAAGCUAAAAAUAUGUAAAUCAUUAUUUUCAGCCUACCACAAAACCAGGCGUCCCUCUUUAAGGGGAAGGGGAUAUGGAGUGCCUGCCUUCAGAACCGGUGGUAGAAUCUGUACAAAUUGUCAACUGAUGUAUCAAAAGUGCUUCUAAACUGAGCCUACUUGAAAUAAAUGAAUUUUGAAUUUUUUUGAGCUUAAUCCCAACAUGUUGCUUCAAUGCUGGUUGGUGAGCUAUGAUGAUUAUGUUAAAUUAAUUAACAACUAUUAUCAGUUGAUAAUGAUAAUGACAGGGACAAACAGCAUAACAUGCGCUCUGAGGCAGGCAGGACCUCAUUGUCGAACUAAGCCAUCCAACAUAGCCGAGAGCAUAGUCUAACAACUGGAUUAAGGAAGCAGGAAAAAAAAUUUUAACACAUAAAAGUUGAAUUGUAUUUGAGUUAUUCAUUAUCAUGAAACCAUUGAAGACUCAGUAGCAUCACAGUUAUGUGGCCAAAUCAAUUCUGAGAGGACACAGGUGCAACCGUGUAUCCAGUCACUCGGAAUACUGUCAACAAUCCAUACCCUCCCACUAGACAAUAGUUUGAUAAUAUUAUUGUCCACUAGAAGGGUAUGAACUCCUAACAGUAUUUUUAACAUCAUGACAGUCAUAUUAUAAAAAUACAUGUCAAAUAUACUUUUAAAGAAAAAUAAAAAUGCUGAUGAAUUUAUAAUCAUCCAUUUGAAUUUAUGUAAAAAAUAAGAAUGUUCAAAAUUGGUUCAGCAGAUCCAGAAACUACCCCUCAGUUUACCACCAACUUUAUCUCUUCAUAAUGUUAGUAUAGACAAUGAAUGAUAAAAGUUUUAUGCAACAUAGUAAAAAAAAUCCUUUACCUUAUUAGCAAGAAGCUAGAUAAUUAUUAUAAGUUUUCAAAAGUUGGACUCAAAACUUCAAAAUGUCAAUCAAGCAAUAUAUAAAUGACAGCUGAUAAGGCUUAUCACAUAAUUGUCAUGUAUGAACAUUAUUGUCUAUACAUAAUUGCUUAUCAAUAGCUUCUAAUUAACAAAACAACAAUACAGAUAAAAACAAUAACAUAUCAAUAAUAUAAGAUUACUCCCAAAUAUAAGAAUAUAUAAUAUACUAAAAUUUUCAAGUAGAUUUGAAAUUAUAAUCAUUAAAGUGGAGAUAUUUUCGUUUGUAUGAAGGUAAUGGUACUAAUAUGCUCUUUCACCUGGAAAGUAAACUCGUUCAAGUAUGAAAAAAUACAAAAAUAGACAACGACCCUACGUCCCCCGACGACCUUACCGUCUAGGUGAGCGUUUAAUCGAAUGCAAUCAAUGAUAAAAUUGCAAUCGCUUCAACGGGUUUACACGGCCUUGCGAAAUAACAUUUUACAACUUAUUUGUAUGUAAAAUAUAGUGUAAAUAUACGUUCAGUGCAAGCAACUAGGGUGCAGAUUUCUCAACGUAGCUCACAGCUGUCAAGCAGCGGUUUUACCAUAAACUAAAAACCAUAGACUAUAGAAUGGAAUGGAACAAGAAUACUGAAUUGAUGGCGACCUUUCGAGACAGCCUUGACACUCGCUUCGUGAGCUGGGUAUAAUAAAGCAGAGACCGGGCACAGUCGGGCUAAAAAAUGCAUAUGUAAUAUAGCUAUUAUAAACAUAAUAGAUAGCUAUAUUACAUAUGCUUUGU